RNAcentral lists this ribosomal RNA (301 nucleotides) under uncultured bacterium. Its description in RNAcentral is "partial 16S ribosomal RNA". It matches the Rfam family "Bacterial small subunit ribosomal RNA", at positions 509 to 807 of the family's 1533-position model. The record is from RNAcentral.
CAGUCGCCGCGGUAAUACAGAGGGUGCGAGCGUUAAUCGGAUUUACUGGGCGUAAAGCGUGCGUAGGCGGCUUCUUAAGUCGGAUGUGAAAUCCCUGAGCUUAACUUAGGAAUUGCAUUCGAUACUGGGAAGCUAGAGUAUGGGAGAGGAUGGUAGAAUUCCAGGUGUAGCGGUGAAAUGCGUAGAGAUCUGGAGGAAUACCGAUGGCGAAGGCAGCCAUCUGGCCUAAUACUGACGCUGAGGUACUAAAGCAUGGGGAGCAAACAGGAUUAGAUACCCCGGUAGUCCCUGUCUCUUAUAC